AGUGAACGCUGGCGGCGUGCUUAACACAUGCAAGUCGAACGAGAAACGGAUUUAGCUUGCUAAAUUGCAGUCUAAGUGGCGCACGGGUGAGUAAUGUAUAGGUAAUAUGCCUCUUACUAAGGGAUAACAAUUGGAAACGAUUGCUAAUACCUUAUAUGCCUUUACUACGAAAGUAUGCAAGGGAAAGAUUUAUUGGUAAGAGAUUAGCCUGUAUGGUAUCAGCUUGUUGGUGAGGUAAUGGCUCACCAAGGCUAUGACGCCUAACUGGUUUGAGAGGAUGAGCAGUCACACUGGAACUGAGACACGGUCCAGACUCCUACGGGAGGCAGCAGUGGGGAAUAUUCCACAAUGGACGAAAGUCGGAUGCAGCAACGCCGCGUGGAGGAUGACACAUUUCGGUGCGUAAACUCCUUUUAUAUAGGAAGAUAAUGACGGUACUAUAUGAAUAAGCACCGGCUAACUCCGUGCCAGCAGCCGCCGUAA
This 483-nucleotide ribosomal RNA is filed under the name uncultured bacterium. Its description in RNAcentral is "partial 16S ribosomal RNA". It matches the Rfam family "Bacterial small subunit ribosomal RNA", at positions 29 to 523 of the family's 1533-position model. The record is from RNAcentral.